RNAcentral lists this ribosomal RNA (465 nucleotides) under uncultured bacterium. Its description in RNAcentral is "partial 16S ribosomal RNA". It matches the Rfam family "Bacterial small subunit ribosomal RNA", at positions 28 to 507 of the family's 1533-position model. The record is from RNAcentral.
GACGAACGCUGGCGGCGUGCUUAACACAUGCAAGUCGAACGGAAAGGCCCCCCUGUGGGGUGCUCGACCGGCGAACAAGUGGGUAACAAGACAGUAAUCUACCCUCGUCUAUGGGAUAACAACUGCAAACUGCGGCUAAUAACAGCUAGUAGCUCCUCCUGCAUGGUGGGGGGGGGUGGGAUUCGGCGGUUGGGGAUGGACUCGCGGCUUAUCAGCUUGUUGGUGGGGUAGUGGCGUACCAAGGCUUUGACGGGUAGCCGGCCUGAGAGGGUGACCGGCCACAUUGGGACUGAGAUACGGCCCAGACUCCUACGGGAGGCAGCAGUGGGGAAUAUUGCACAAUGGGCGGAAGCCUGAUGCAGCAACGCCGCGUGCGGGAUGACGGCCUUCGGGUUGUAAACCGCUUUCGCCUGUGACGAAGCGUGAGUGACGGUAAUGGGUAAAGAAGCACCGGCUAACUACGUG